UCCAUCUUGUAGCAAUACAAGUGAAGACCUAGUGGCGAACGGGUGAGGAACACGUGAGAAAUUUGCCCCGAACUUUGGGAUAACAGUUGGAAACGACUGCUAAUACCGAAUGCCGUUACGAAGUGGCAUCACUUUGUAACGAAAGAAUUUCGGUUCGGGAGAAUCUCGCGGCCUAUCAGCUUGUUGGUGAGGUAACGGCUCACCAAGGCUACGACGGGUAGCUGGUCUGAGAGGAUGAUCAGCCACACUGGGACUGAGACACGGCCCAGACUCC
Molecule: ribosomal RNA, 274 nt
Filed under: unidentified marine bacterioplankton
Lineage: Bacteria
Also listed under: 1 other name
Description: partial 16S ribosomal RNA
Rfam family: Bacterial small subunit ribosomal RNA
Source: RNAcentral